GUGUUGUAUGAAGGGAGAGAAGGUCAGCACACCCCUCACGAGGGCAAGAGGCCCUCAGGCCAGUACAACACGCAUACGGUUAAGGCAUCACCCCUACUCUGUGGCAUCCACCCCCCGUUUUCA
This is a small nuclear RNA of Trichechus manatus latirostris (Florida manatee), 123 nucleotides long. The record is from RefSeq and is a predicted model, not a curated record. Lineage: Eukaryota; Metazoa; Chordata; Mammalia; Sirenia; Trichechidae.